Felis catus (domestic cat) is the source of this 85-nucleotide transfer RNA. It matches the Rfam family "tRNA". Rfam says of the family: Transfer RNA (tRNA) molecules are approximately 80 nucleotides in length. Lineage: Eukaryota; Metazoa; Chordata; Mammalia; Carnivora; Felidae. The record is from Rfam.
GCCUGGGUGGCUCAGUUGGCCGAGCGUCUGACUUCAGCUCAGGUCAUGAUCUCAUAGUUCGUGAGUUCAAGUCCCACAUCAGGCU